GCUGCUGUGGUGUAACGGCUAGCACUAAGGCCUGUGGAGCCUUGAGACGGGGUUCAACUCCCCGCUGCAGCCCCA
This 75-nucleotide transfer RNA is filed under the name Candidatus Bathyarchaeota archaeon. RNAcentral's name for it is "tRNA-His". It matches the Rfam family "tRNA". Rfam says of the family: Transfer RNA (tRNA) molecules are approximately 80 nucleotides in length. Their secondary structure includes four short double-helical elements and three loops (D, anti-codon, and T loops). RNAcentral also lists the same sequence under 1 other name. The record is from RNAcentral. Lineage: Archaea; Thermoproteati; Candidatus Bathyarchaeota.